UGGAUCGAUGAUGACUAGUAAUGUAUGAGUCAUGGGUGAUGAACAAUACGUGUCUGGAACUCUGAGGUCCUA
Molecule: small nucleolar RNA, 72 nt
Organism: Choloepus hoffmanni (Hoffmann's two-fingered sloth)
Lineage: Eukaryota; Metazoa; Chordata; Mammalia; Pilosa; Megalonychidae
Source: Ensembl